CUGGUCUUGACAUCCACAGAACCUGGCAGAGAUGCCGGGGUGCCUUCGGGAACUGUGAGACAGGUGCUGCAUGGCUGUCGUCAGCUCGUGUUGUGAAAUGUUGGGUUAAGUCCCGCAACGAGCGCAACCCUUAUCCUUUGUUGCCAGCGGUUAGGCCGGGAACUCAAAGGAGACUGCCAGUGAUAAACUGGAGGAAGGUGGGGAUGACGUCAAGUCAUCAUGGCCCUUACGACCAGGGCUACACACGUGCUACAAUGGCGCAUACAAAGAGAAGCGACCUCGCGAGAGCAAGCGGACCUCAUAAAGUGCGUCGUAGUCCGGAUUGGAGUCUGCAACUCGACUCCAUUAAGUCGGAAUCGCUAGUAAUCGUGAAUCAGAAUGUCACGGUGAAUA
This 393-nucleotide ribosomal RNA is filed under the name uncultured bacterium. RNAcentral describes it as "bacterial SSU rRNA". It matches the Rfam family "Bacterial small subunit ribosomal RNA", at positions 975 to 1368 of the family's 1533-position model. The record is from RNAcentral.